Molecule: long non-coding RNA, 1121 nt
Organism: Myodes glareolus (Bank vole)
Lineage: Eukaryota; Metazoa; Chordata; Mammalia; Rodentia; Cricetidae
Source: RefSeq, a predicted model, not a curated record
AACAGUCACCCGCCUGACCGCACAGCUGGGACCAACGGCAGAUGGAAGGUCUGGUCAAUGGCUCAAUGCGGAUGGAGUCUCAGAGUCCAACAGUGCGAGGGAGGAAGGAGAGAUGGCUUGACAUACCAACAAUCUGAAGGCUGUAUGGAUGGGAAGGCUGGCAGAUGGCUAGAGGAGGCACGGAGGGAUGGAAGGGCAGAUGGAAGCACAGUUGGAAAUGGCAGAUAGAUGGAGAGAGGACCAAUGGCCGGACAGAUAAAGAGGCUCCAAUGUCUGAGAGUGCAGGAACAAGGUAUUAGACAAAGAUGGAAUCUGGCAACACUGAGACCACGGAGUAUUGAAGCUUUGUAUGCCUAGUGGUGAGAAUAAAGUUGCCUAUCUGUGUAUUUAAGGAACCAGGCUAUCUUCCUUCCCUCUCCUCAGAAUGGGUCAAAGUUCUUCAAGUCUGCCUCCAAGCAUGGCAGAGGAAGGAGGAGGAAGCUGCAGUUCUGUUCACAACAGCCUACACGUGUGAAAAUCCAGGAAGUCACUGUAGCCAUCAGACUCCUGAGUUCACAAUAAGAGGAACCCUCAAGCAAGGAUUCUCCUAGAGCUCUGUUACUUUCUCCAGGCCUGGAGGCAUGCUAGGAGCCCUGGACAACUCCUUUAACACACAUUUUGAGACAGAAUCUUUCUGGCCUCCAAUAGCUGGGGUCACCCAAAUCCAUUUUCUACCUGACAGCAUUCAUUUUGCAUUCUGCUUGAGGGAGAAGAUCUGGAGAACACAAUGGGAUGGGGACUUUAUAGGUUCAUGACAGGUUGUCCUGAACCCAGGACCUCUGCCUUCCCCAUGAACUUGGCAAGGGAGACAUCUCUACCGUGUGUCUACAUAAUGGGAGUGCUACACACAAAACUCAGCCCAGAGGAGAUCCCAGCAGUUAAACUUGGAGUCUCUGAGGCUAGAAAGUUCGAGUCCCGUGUGCCGAGAUUCCACAUAGCCCGUGUCACAAGCUUCCUGAAUCUACCACACUGGAGUGUCUGGUCCCAGAGGGGAAGGCUAGGACCCUCUUCUUCCUGUGUCUGUCCCAUCACACUGCACAGGUCAGCCACCUGCUGGCACACCACCAAGAUUUGAAAAAGGU